RNAcentral lists this ribosomal RNA (494 nucleotides) under uncultured Chloroflexota bacterium. RNAcentral describes it as "bacterial SSU rRNA". It matches the Rfam family "Bacterial small subunit ribosomal RNA", at positions 355 to 863 of the family's 1533-position model. Lineage: Bacteria; Bacillati; Chloroflexota. The record is from RNAcentral.
UAGGGAAUAUUGGUCAAUGGGCGAAAGCCUGAACCAGCAACGCCGCGUGUGCGAUGAAGGCCUUCGGGUCGUAAAGCACUUUUCUGGGAGAUGAGAAAGGACAGUAUCCCAGGAAUAAGUCUCGGCUAACUACGUGCCAGCAGCCGCGGUAAAACGUAGGAGGCGAGCGUUAUCCGGAUUCACUGGGCGUAAAGCGCGUGCAGGUGGCUUGGUAAGUUAGGCGUGAAAUCUCCCGGCUCAACUGGGAGAGGUCGUCUAAUACUACCGGGCUUGAGAGCAGAAGAGGAAGAUGGAAUUCCCGGUGUAGUGGUGAAAUGCGUAGAUAUCGGGAGGAACACCAGUGGCGAAGGCGAUCUUCUGGUCUGUUUCUGACACUCAGACGCGACAGCUAGGGUAGUAAACGGGAUUAGAGACCCCGGUAAUCCUAGCCGUAAACGAUAGUAAACUUGGCGUUGGUGGGUUAAACUCCAUCAGUGCCGCAGCAAACGCGAUAA